RNAcentral lists this transfer RNA (89 nucleotides) under Salmonella enterica subsp. enterica. Its description in RNAcentral is "tRNA-Ser". It matches the Rfam family "tRNA". From Rfam's summary of the family: Transfer RNA (tRNA) molecules are approximately 80 nucleotides in length. Lineage: Bacteria; Pseudomonadati; Pseudomonadota; Gammaproteobacteria; Enterobacterales; Enterobacteriaceae. The record is from RNAcentral.
GGUGAGGUGGCCGAGAAGCUGAAGGCGCCCCCGCUAAGGGAGUAUGCGGUCAAAGCUGCAUCCGGGGUUCGAAUCCCGCCUCACCGCCA